Molecule: ribosomal RNA, 495 nt
Filed under: uncultured bacterium
Lineage: Bacteria
Description: partial 16S ribosomal RNA
Rfam family: Bacterial small subunit ribosomal RNA
Source: RNAcentral
GACGAACGCUGGCGGCGUGCCUAAUACAUGCAAGUAGAACGCUGAAGGAGGAGCUUGCUCUUCUGGAUGAGUUGCGAACGGGUGAGUAACGCGUAGGUAACCUGCCUGGUAGCGGGGGAUAACUAUUGGAAACGAUAGCUAAUACCGCAUAAGAGUAGAUGUUGCAUGACAUUUGCUUAAAAGUUGCAAUUGCAUCACUACCAGAUGGACCUGCGUUGUAUUAGCUAGUUGGUGGGGUAACGGCUCACCAAGGCGACGAUACAUAGCCGACCUGAGAGGGUGGUCGGCCACCCUGGGACGGAGACACGGCCCAGACGCCUUCGGGAGGCAGCAGUAGGGAAUCUUCGGCAAUGGACGGAAGUCUGACCGAGCAACGCCGCGUGAGUGAAGAAGGUUGUCGGAUCGGAAAGCUCUGUUGUAAGAGAAGAACGAGUGUGAGAGUGGAAAGUUCACACUGUGACGGUAUCUUAUCAGAAAGGGACGGCUAACUACGUG